This 407-nucleotide ribosomal RNA is filed under the name uncultured bacterium. RNAcentral's name for it is "partial 16S ribosomal RNA". It matches the Rfam family "Bacterial small subunit ribosomal RNA", at positions 355 to 751 of the family's 1533-position model. The record is from RNAcentral.
UGGGGAAUAUUGCACAAAUGGGCCGCAAGCCUGAUGCAGCCAUGCCGCGUGUGUGAAGAAGGCCUUCGGGUUGUAAAGCACUUUCAGCGAGGAGGAAGGUGGUGAACUUAAUACGUUCAUCAAUUGACGUUACUCGCAGAAGAAGCACCGGCUAAUUCCGUGCCAGCAGCCGCGGUAAUACGGAGGGUGCAAGCGUUAAUCGGAAUUACUGGGCGUAAAAGCGCACGCAGGCGGUUUGUUAAGUCAGAUGUGAAAUCCCCGGGCUCAACCUGGGAACUGCAUUUGAAACUGGCAAGCUAGAGUCUCGUAGAGGGGGGUAGAAUUCCAGGUGUAGCGGUGAAAUGCGUAGAGAUCUGGAGGAAUACCGGUGGCGAAGGCGGCCCCCUGGACGAAGACUGACGCUCAGG